This 460-nucleotide ribosomal RNA is filed under the name uncultured bacterium. RNAcentral describes it as "partial 16S ribosomal RNA". It matches the Rfam family "Bacterial small subunit ribosomal RNA", at positions 338 to 795 of the family's 1533-position model. The record is from RNAcentral.
CCUACGGGGGGCAGCAGUGAGGAAUAUUGGUCAAUGGACGAGAGUCUGAACCAGCCAAGUAGCGUGAAGGAUGACUGCCCUAUGGGUUGUAAACUUCUUUUAUAAAGGAAUAAAACGAGGCACGUGUGCCUUUUUGCAUGUACUUUAUGAAUAAGGAUCGGCUAACUCCGUGCCAGCAGCCGCGGUAAUACGGAGGAUCCGAGCGUUAUCCGGAUUUAUUGGGUUUAAAGGGAGCGUAGAUGGGUUGUUAAGUCAGUUGUGAAAGUUUGCGGCUCAACAGUAAAAUUGCAAUUGAUACUGGCAGUCGUGAGUACAGUUGAGGUAGGCGGAAUUCGUGGUGUAGCGGUGAAAUGCUUAGAUAUCACGAAGAACCCCGAUUGCGAAGGCAGCUUACUAAACUGUGACUGACAUUGAUGCUCGAAAGUGUGGGUAUCAAACAGGAUUAGAUACCCGAGUAGUC